RNAcentral lists this long non-coding RNA (1162 nucleotides) under Nicotiana tabacum (common tobacco). Its description in RNAcentral is "long non-coding RNA (NTAB_LNC009250)". Lineage: Eukaryota; Viridiplantae; Streptophyta; Magnoliopsida; Solanales; Solanaceae. The record is from RNAcentral.
GUACCCGUCUAUAUUUUUUGUUCUACUGUUUCUUUCAUUUAGACAGUUACAUUUCUUUCAGACUAUUACUUGUAGUAAAUUCUAGAAUGCUCGUGAAUUGUGACUCCAGAUCCGGGUGAUAGUAAUUAAUACAGUUUUAUAAUAUUCCGCACGUAAUAUAUUUCAUCUUAGUUAAUUAUUGUUAAUUACUUUAUGGGAAUAAGGAAUUGGUUAAUGAUUCUGUAACGUUGGCUUGCCUAGCAAGUGAAAUGUUAGGCGUCAUCACGGUCCCGUCAGUGAAAAAUUUCGGAUCGUGACAAAAGCACCCAAUAUCCCUAAUAGACCAUGAUCAGAAAUUGAUUAGCAAAACCAAAAUCGGCAAAUUCGAAUACAAUCCCAUAUACAAAUGCAUAAACAUAGUGCCUUUUUCAUGAAAUGAAAAUUACCCAGCUCCCCCAACCCUCCACCCAAAACAAAGAGCUCUAGAGUCCAGUAUGACAAUCAAAGAGGGAAUAUAGCAAAAUCAUACAUACACACAAACACAUAACAAAGAUGCAUAAAGAUUGUGACUUUUUCAAAAAAAAAAAAUAGAAUUAGCAAUUUCAAAUAAAAAGCUCCAGAUUGAAAAUCAAAGAGGGAAUACAGAAAACCCAUAGAUUCUAACAUAGAAAGCACAUAAAUAUUUUGCCUUUCUCGAAAAAUUAGAAUUACCCAAUUCAAAAAACAAACUCCAAAUAAAAAUCAAAAAGAAAACACAAAAAAAAGAACCCUGGAUUCCAACACAAACACAUAUUAAAACACAUAAAAAUUGUGCCUUUUAAUGAAAUUAAAGUUACCCAUUUCCUGAAGAAAGCUCAAAUCUUUUAGAAUUGAAGAUGAAAAAAUUAAACAGAAAAAGGAAAAAAAGACUUACCGUCAGUCAGAGAGAGAGAGAGAGAGAGAGAGAGAGCAGUCAAUGGCACAAGUGUAUUGGAAGAGAGAUCCAAGAACAAUCAGCCUCACACUUGAAAUGGAAGAGAAACUAAACAAGAAAAAGGAAAUCGAGAGUGAGAGAGAGGAAUAGAGAAAUUGGAAAAAUAGGCACAAAUUAAAGAAAUCGAGAGUGAGAGAGAGAGAAAUAGAGAAAUUGGGAAAAUAGGCCCGAAAUUGGGUUUUGGCCUAACAUAUUAGAUUUAGGUUUCUG